RNAcentral lists this ribosomal RNA (678 nucleotides) under Parahaemophilus parainfluenzae. RNAcentral describes it as "Haemophilus parainfluenzae bacterial SSU rRNA". It matches the Rfam family "Bacterial small subunit ribosomal RNA", at positions 61 to 728 of the family's 1533-position model. The record is from RNAcentral. Lineage: Bacteria; Pseudomonadati; Pseudomonadota; Gammaproteobacteria; Pasteurellales; Pasteurellaceae.
GUCGAACGGUAACAUAGAGAAGCUUGCUUCUUUGAUGACGAGUGGCGGACGGGUGAGUAAUGCUUGGGAAUCUGGCUUAUGGAGGGGGAUAACUACGGGAAACUGUAGCUAAUACCGCGUAAUAUCGAAAGAUUAAAGUGUGGGACCUUCGGGCCACAUGCCAUAGGAUGAGCCCAAGUGGGAUUAGGUAGUUGGUGAGGUAAAGGCUCACCAAGCCGACGAUCUCUAGCUGGUCUGAGAGGAUGACCAGCCACACUGGGACUGAGACACGGCCCAGACUCCUACGGGAGGCAGCAGUGGGGAAUAUUGCGCAAUGGGGGCAACCCUGACGCAGCCAUGCCGCGUGAAUGAAGAAGGCCUUCGGGUUGUAAAGUUCUUUCGGUAGCGAGGAAGGUGGUUAGUUUAAUAGGCUAGCCAAUUGACGUUAACUACAGAAGAAGCACCGGCUAACUCCGUGCCAGCAGCCGCGGUAAUACGGAGGGUGCGAGCGUUAAUCGGAAUAACUGGGCGUAAAGGGCACGCAGGCGGAGAUUUAAGUGAGGUGUGAAAGCCCCGGGCUUAACCUGGGAAUUGCAUUUCAGACUGGGRGUCUAGAGUACUUUAGGGAGGGGUAGAAUUCCACGUGUAGCGGUGAAAUGCGUAGAGAUGUGGAGGAAUACCGAAGGCGAAGGCAGCCCC